AGAGAAAAAAGAAGAAGAAUUAGGCCCUCGAGCAUCCUUGCUUUCCUUUUCCUCCUUCUUUUCAUCGCAAGUGGGAAGGUAGGUGGAAGGGAGCCAGAAGUUUUCUUCUCAAAUCAUCCCCACCCCCAAACCCAACCCUUUCGGUCUCGAUUCAAUUAAGGACUUUUGUGUAGAGAGGGAAGUAUCCACUCGUAUGCGUCAAAAGUCAAGAAGUAGAGUUCAGCAAAAGCCUAGGCAAAGGCUCGAAGUUCAAGGGCAGCAGUUCUGGUAGCUCUUUUAGUUCUUGUCGUUGAAUCAAGCUAUUUAUGAUUGACGAAUAAUGUAGAUUUAGAAAGACAUUGACCUAAAUCCCCGUAACUGAAAGAACGGGAGGCGGAAAGGGAAGUUGAGGAAGGUGAAAAGAAUAUUGACGUUGACUCGGGCUAGGAAACAUCCGUUAGUCUUAUUGACACAUCCAGAGUAAUCUUUCUCCACUGCAAAGGUGUUACGACGCCGAACCGACUCGACAAGGAAGACUGAAAGCGCUAUCCCACGAACCAUAGGAUGAAGCCCACGUAGCGGCAGUAUCCUUUCGUAAGAAGGAGAAGGCGCAUACUACAAUCAGGACAAAGUCGACAAGAGAAGAGGCAUGCAUCGGCAGCAAGAAAGUCAGAGGACUCAAUCUCAAAAGAGACAUAAGUCAAUGAAUUUAAAUGGUAAUGACUUCAACUUUGUAGGAAAGUUGGGUCGUUAUAAUUUACUAGCUUCAAUUAUAAAUUUUCUAAUUAAUUGUUGCUGCUUGAAUCUCCUCAAUUGAGUUCACUUCCUUUUGAAAGUGAGAAUUCAAUGCUGCCAGGUCGCAAGGGAUGCAGAGGAAUGUCAGAGAUUCGAAUUCAAAAUCCUGGUCCGAAUCUUGGGCCUGGGGUGUUACAGUUGCCUCUUUGGUGUUCGAGAUCAAGCCCUUUGCCAUGUUGGCUCAAGUUGUCUCUUGAAUGUGGUGCUCGAUCUCAACGUACUGUCUCAUGUGUGCGCCGGUUGUCAACAAUAGUCAUAAGGUCAUUUUUGUAUGGAAGUCGAGAACAUGACCGAAAGAAUAACUCAAGUACUCAAAGAUUCAGAGAAUUCAAAGAAGAUUUAGUCAUGACAUGCUAAUGAAAAGCAAGGCUUCCAGCUAGAAAAUACAACAAAUUACAACCAAAGAAAAUAUGUCCUUAUCGAAUAGUAAAGAAUUUUGACGACAAUGCAUACAAGAUUGAGUUAUAUGCCCAGACAUACAUUAAUCCUAUCUUCAACUUACACUCAAGGACGUGUUCUCCAUGGGGGAAGGGAAUUUGAGGUCGACGGAUGGACAGGUGGAGGGGUCCUCGCAUUUCUCGUGUCUAUUACUUUUUGAACAUCUGCAGAACACAACAUGAGGCUCAGAUCCUCAGUCAAGUUAUGACAACAAUGAGAAAACUUCCAUAAAAGCUAGAGGAGAAGAGGUGUCUUGGGCAGCUGAAGACUAAGAAUUUGGGUACUUUCAACGUUGAUCACUUGCUUCCUAUAGUCAGUACCUAGAGGACUUCGAGGAGCCUUCAGAUGGUUCAUCUCAAAUGAAACAGCAGCAUCGCUGAUGCU
Cucumis sativus (cucumber) is the source of this 1596-nucleotide RNA transcript. RefSeq lists it as uncharacterized. The record is from RefSeq and is a predicted model, not a curated record. Lineage: Eukaryota; Viridiplantae; Streptophyta; Magnoliopsida; Cucurbitales; Cucurbitaceae. The transcript has 4 exons.